ACAGGGAUUAUGGUUAGAUUUCUAUGGUUUGACCCUGUUCCUUACCUCUCUGCAGAAAUGGGGCUGUGAGUGAGAAGAGUCACUGGUAUUGCAAGAUGUAGAGAGUAUCUAAAGUCUUCUCAUUUCUGAAUAGCUCUACCUCUGAUCAUGCCUGAAAUUCCAUUACAAAUCUAUUUCUUGAAGGUGUGUUUUAAUUUGUCGGGGCUGAAAAGGAUACUGAACACUAGUGACCAAGGACUCUCAAAUGCUAUGACUGAGAAGGCAGUAAAGCAAGGACUCUCCCUCAGAAAGAAGCCAUGGAUGUUCUGACACCCCAGGACAAUGCACCUGAGUAGGACCGUGGUGGGCGAAGGGAAAAUGCCUGACACCUGGUAUCUACCCCUCAGGAUGGACUGAUGUUUGCCGAUGCUUUUCCCUGGGGAACAGUCUCCCGCACUUCCAUGGUGGAAUGAAAAACUUGGCCUGAGGUUUUAGCCAUCGUGAACAGGGAGCGAGAGCCAGACCUACCUUGUUCAUAGUUUUCUUCAUAUGAAAUGCGUUGCUUAGCACCUUGUAGGAGCUUCAUUGUAUAUAUGUGGAAUCAUUGAAUCAACAUAAAAGGAAGGAUAAAACUUUGGCGUUGAUAAAAGAAGAGCAACAGCAAAUCCCACCCCCGCCAUUUACUGGCCUGUUAACUUCUCUCUGCCUGAAUUUCCUCAACUGCUAAGUGGGAAGGAUCGUGAUAAUCACAGCAUGUACCUCGCGAUACCUUGAUUUCUCGGGCUGUGCUUCCUGCAACAUGGAGGGUCUGUAACAGCACAGUGCUCAUGAGGGAACUUCAGCCAUGUCUGUCUUGGGCCAUCGCACAGAUGAUUCCUGCAUUUGGGAGCACUUCUUGAGCCAAGCCAUAUGCUCAGCAUCACGGGAGCUUCAUGUGUUCCGUCUGGAACACUGGGAAUAAUGAGAUCCUGAACCGCAAAGGGCAGAGUCCCUGGAAAGCAGCCAUACUUGGUGGAGUGGCCAUUAAUCCCACAGAAAUGAGAGGGGCUGGAUAAAGAGAAGAAAAAAAAGGCUUCUCAUCUUCAGGCUUCUUCAAGGAGAAAAUUUAUGGUCUCUGGACUAGAGGACCUAUGUUCCAGGUAAGCCUCUGUGUGAUCUUGGGUGAGUCAUUUUACCUUUCUGAAUCAUAAUUUCACACCAUACUGCAAGAUUAUUGGGAAGACAUAGAAUAAUGCAUCUGCAAGUGCUUUUGGAACCUAGGAGGUGAUACACACGUGGGAGAAUGAGGGAUACCUGCCUCAGUGGAACUGCUCCCCAGUAGCAUCAGUCAUUCACUUAACAAACAUUCAUGGUAUGCUCAUUAUGUGAAAAUAGAAGAUUAGGUAACCCUUAUCUCCUGUGUUGAGAUGAAAAAGUGGUUAGGGGUUCUGUAGCUCUAUUCCUUGCUCAGGUAUUCUUGCUAUAAAAUAAUAUCUUUAGAUAGCAAUGUGUACCAAAUUUGCAGUAACCCAGUGUCCUGCCGUUAGUUCAUGGUCUUAGUUGGCGAGUGUCAACAUUUCCUUGCUUCUACCCCAUUACCUCCCAAUGAUGUGUGUUGUCAUUGCUGCUUAGUGUUCAGCAUCAAUUUGUGACCUGCGGCCGAUUUUAUUCCAUUCUUAGAGCUUAUCAUUCCCCUCCAGAAAAUGAGAUCAAAUACUUCACAUGACCGAGAUCAAGACCAGUGAAAAGGUUUUGAUGUCUCCCCGGGAGGUGGGAUGGGCAGAGUCAUUUGUCUAUGCAGUUUCCUGUUCGUGCACAACCACCAGACAGGUGCGGAGAGGCAUGCAUUCAUCUUGAUAGGUGGAUGUUGUUUCUGGUUGUGUGAUAAGAGUGGAUAGGAUGGGAAGGCAAACCGUUCUCAGCCUUACACAUGGAGAACAUGGUCUGGUUUCAAAUGAAAUGCCCUCAGCUUUCUGCUGUGAUAAAUUAUAUCCAUAUAAUGUCACCAUCUCUCAGGUCAUAGGUGAUAAACUAAUUAAUGCUGUCUCAGUGGUGGAAACUCUAUAUUGAGCUCGGAAUCCAGAAGUCUCUUGCUUGAAAUAGAAAACCUUGUUAAGGGCUCUUUUUCUACAGUAGGCCGUGGAUAGCUGGUAUGUCAUGCCAGACUGGCAUGUCCAAGAUCGGCUGGAGAGCGGGCUCUGGAGAUGCUGGGAUGUGAUCAUUCAGGGACAAAAAGGUUUAGUUUUAAAAAGGAGAACUCAGAGUGCCUGGGUGGCUCAGUCGGUUAACCAUCCGACUCUUGAUUUCGGCUAAGGUCAUGAUCUCACGGUUCUUGGGUUCAAGCCCCACAUAGGGCUCUGUGCUGACAGAGUGGAGUCUGCUUGGGAUUCUCUGUCUCUCCCUCUCUCUCUCUACCCCUCCCCUGCUCAUUUUCUCUCUCUCUCUCUCUCUCUCUCUCUCAAAAUAAAUAAAUAAACUUAAAAAAAUAUAAAAAGGAGAACUGAAAAUAGAGACCACAAAGAUCCAGUGACUUUGAACAUAAGUGCCUUUAAAUUGAAUGUAAAUGUUAAAAGAAAAUACAAAUAAAUAUUCACCAUUGAGUGGUUUACAAAGAGUGAACUCUUAACUGGGUGGGUUGAGAGGGAGCUGAGAACACACAAUGUGAGUAUUUUUGUAUUUUAACCUUUAUGUUCAUGAUAGCAUCUUGUGAUUUUCUUUUAAAUAUGUAUUUUAUUGCAGAUCUUACGUACUUAGCUUACUUACUAAGUACUUAAUUAGAAGUAUUUCUUUUAUUUUUUUGCAUUUUUUAUUGAAGUGUGGUUGAUACAUGUUAUUAUAUCGGUUUCAGGCGUGCAAUAUAGUGAUUUCACAAUUAUGUAAUUACAAAAUACUCACCACGAUAAGUAUAGUUGCCAUUGUCACCAUACAGUGUUAUUACAAUAUUAUUGAUUAUAUUCUCCAUGCUGUACUUUUCAUUUUUGUGACGUAUUUAUUUGUAACUGGAAGUGUGUACCCCUUGAUCCCCUUCACCUAUUUUGCCUAUCCUACCAUCCUCCUGCCCUCUGGCAACCACCAGUUUGUUCUCUGUAUGUAUGAAUCUAUCCCUGUUUGUUUGUUUGUUUGUUUGUUUAGUUGUUUUUUAGAAUCCACGUAUAAGUGGAAUCAUAUGGUAGUUGUCUUCUUCUUUCUGACUUACUUUAAUUGACAUAAUACCCUCUAGGUCCACCCAUGUUGUUACAAAUGACAAGACUUCAUUUCUUUUUUAUGGCUAAGUAGUAAUACUCCACUAUGCAUAUAUAUCACAUCUUCUUUAUCCCUUCAUUUAUCCGUGGACACUUAGGUUGCUUUCAUAUCUUGGUUAUAGCAAAUAAUGCUAACACUUAUCUUUUCAAAUUAGCAUUUUUGUUUUCUUUGGGUAAAAACCUCAUAGUAGGGUUAUAGGAUGAUAUGGCAUUUCUAUUUUUAAUCUUUUGAGGAAACUCCAUACUGUUUUCCACAAUGGCUGCCCCAAUUUACGUUCCCACCAACAGCGCAUAGGGUUCAUUUUUCUACAUCCUUGCCAAUAUUUGUUAUCUUCUGAUUUUUUGAUAAUAGCAAAAAUACUGCUAUUGCCUGUUAAUAUCCAUGGAACUUAGAGAAACAUUCUAUUCUCUACUCCUUUCAAUAUCCAUAGCAUCGUGUAUGUGUCCUAUUAUGAAACUUUAAAAUUUUGUAAUUAUUUCCAUGGUUGUCAUAUUUCUUAGUGGAGAAUGUAUCUUUUAAAAAGGUUUUUUUAAUGUUUAUUUAUGUUAGAGAGAGAACGAGAGGGAGAGGGAGAGCACCAGAGAGAGAGGGAGACAGAAUCCGAAGCAGGCUCUAGGCUCUGAGCUGUUAGCACAGAGCUCGAGGCAGGGCUUGAACUCAAGAACUGUGAGAUCAUGACCCCCACUGAGCUGCCCAGGGGCCGCUAGUGAAGAAUGUAUCUUAAUGCACGUGUGAGAGUUUUGGAUCUGUAUGAGAGACCCAAUUUUGCAUUAUGGUUCUGACAAGACGCAGGACCUUGGGCAACUCACUUUACCUUUCCCCAAGCCUCUGUCUCUUCUGAUAAAAAGUGGUUAAUAUUAUGUAUAUCCAACUCUUGAGAAAUAAUAUAGUAUCUGUAAAAGCACCUGGCACAGAGGCCAAAAGAUAUUGUUUCUUUUUUACAUCUAUUUUUCUUAGCUUCUUAAGUUGUAGAACCAAGUUUUGUGUUUCCUGUAAUUCAUCAUAGAAUAUUUAUUGGGUACUCAAAAAUACUAUUAAAUGAGAGAAUCUAUUCUAUGUUAAUACCAAAGACAUAAAAAUGUCACUUUCUUGCCUUUUUAACUUACCUUUAUUCUGGGGCAGUUGAUUAUUUUCCCUUGAUAAUUCUGUUUUACAACUUAUAUCUCUCUUCUGCACAAAGUAACAUUUGAUAGGUACUGCUACAGGGAGGAUUAGUUGCUCGUCCAAUUAUGAAUCUCAUUUAAGUUUAUACUGCCUUGUUACUUUGGCUCAAGCCAAUUCCAAAUCUGUAGAGAAAGAGUAAUGCUAUAUAUAUACAUCCUUUAGCAAAAUUGCUCUUUAUGACAAUUAUAUUCUUGAUGGGAAGAUAGGCAAAAAUAUAUGCCCAAUGAAUGACUAAGUUUAUGCAGUAAGUUCCUGUGAGAGCCCUGUUCCAUUUUCCCAGGCUUCGUUGUUCUCGGUAACCAUUGUCUCUUGCCAUUAACAAUCUCUUUAAAUGAUGUAUGGGGGCUGGGGAAAAAAAGGAAUAGGGCAUGAAAAUAUCCUGAAGAAUUUUUUAGAAAGAGGCUAACAGGCCAAGAACCUUGGCAUUAGUUUGGCUCUUAAAGGUCUAAAGAAGAGAUGCACAUCAGCAAACAUCAUGGGUGAAAUUAAUCAUAAGGCUAUGUGGGAGUGCUGAGCAGCUCCAGGAACCCUCUGGGCACUUAUACAGUUGCUUCGUAUCCCAGUGGUAAUGUCACCGGAGUUCAGCAGGACUUUCCCUAGUCUUGGGAACCUCCUUCCUUCUCAAUCAUCUGACAUUUAUCCUGCCUAAGAAGUGGGCUCUGAUUGGAUAUGUUUGCCAUUAUACAACAGCUUUCCUGGAGGGCACAGUUUUCUAGAAGUUGUCCGGAGUUGUUUGGUGUCUCCAGUGUCUGCCAUAUUCUCUGACUUGAGAAUAAUCACUUUGGAAAUGGGAAUAGGGAUUUGGGAGCCUUGUAGGUGGUUGGAGCCAUGAAAAGGGAAUAGUAUGAACAGAGGCAAAAAUUGCUGCAUGUAGCAUGUUUGGGGGGACAUCAAACAGUUCAUGUUGGUUAGUGAAAUGUUUCUCAGUUAGGGGUCUGUGAACUUCUAAGAGGCCAUGAAAGUGUUGUUAGGGCAGCUGUGAGUUCUCUUUAUGCAUUAAUAUAACUUUAGUUUAAUUGCAAUAAUAGCCCUAAAAUAAUGAACAUAAGCAUGUAUUUGACCAGAGAUGUGGCCACCUUAUAUAUAAUCUGCACUGAGCAGUGUAUACCAUAUUCAUGGUGGUGUGAGUUUAAUUAGAACAUCAUGAUUGAACACACAAAAUUGAUGUUAUUUGAAUUUUAUUGGUUUUGUAAGAUUAUUUGUAUUUAAUUCAUAAAUAAUUUUUGGUUUGUAGUGGUUUAAAAGCUAAGAGAAUGGGGUGCCUGGGUUGCUCAGUGGGUUGAGCAUCCAACUUCAGCUCAGGUCAUGAUCUCAUGGUUUGUGAGUUUGAGCCCUGUAUUGGGCUUGCAGCUGUCAGUGCAGAACCUGCUUCAGAUCCUCUGUCUCUCUCUCUCUCUCUCUCUCUCUCUCUCUCUGCACCUCUCCCACUCAUACACUCUCUCUCUCACACACACACACAAAACAUUAAAAAACUUAAUUUAAAAAAGUAAAAUCUAUGAGCAUAAGGAGGUUUUUUAUUUUUAUUUCUUACUAAGUUUUUGUUCACAUUUGAUAACAUUGUAAUGAAAUGAUUUAAUUCAACAUUGGGCACCUGAAAGAGUAUAUUAAAUGGGGCCCAUGUUCAUUAAGAGUGCACUUAUCAUGAUGAGCACUGGGUGAUGGAUGUAUGGAAUUGUUGAAUAUAGUACAAUAUAGUGAUAUUGUACACCUGAAACUAAUUAACACUGUAUGUUCGGUAUACUGGAAUUUAAAAAAAGGGUCCAUAUUUUACUCAUAUUUGAGAAACAAUUGGCUAGAGUAGGAGUUGGCAAACUCUGUGAAGAGUCAGAUAGUAAAUAUUUUAGGAUUUGCAGACCAAGAGGCAGAACUGAGGGCAUUAUAUUGGUGCUUAUAUAAUAACAAAGCAAAUUUCCAGAUUAAAAAAAUUUUUUAAUUAAACAAAAUUUAAGUUUAUUUAUUUGGAGACAGAGAGAAUGAGAGAGCACGAGUGGGGUAGGGGCAGAGAGAGAGAGAGAGAGAGAGGGAGAGAGAAUUCCAAGCUGGCUCCACACUGUCGGUGCAGAGCCAAUGUGAGGCUCAAACUCAUGAACCAUGAGAUCAUGACCUGAGCUGAAAUCAAGAGUUGCAUGCUUAACCUACUGAGCCACCCUCAUGCCCCUCCACAGGUUUUUUUUUUUUUUUUUAUUGAUGAAAUACAAACACCAAUGCUGUUGCUACUGCUGCUAAUAAUGAUGAUAAUAAUAUCUGAAUACAUUUUUUUUUUUUUUUGUAAUACAGGCCUACUAAUGAAAAGAAUGAAAUUUCUCUUUUGGGGAGGAUAACAUCUCAUUUAAUUGGGGUCCAAAGUUAGUGUUCCCUGUCAUCAAAUAGAUAAUAAACAUUCAUCUGUAAAAACAAUUGUGAGCUUGCAUGUUGUACAGAAACAGCCAGCAGGCCAGAUUUGACCUAUGGGCCAAGUUUAUUGACAUCUGAGUAAAGUAUAAGGUAUGUGUUGUGGGUGGAGAAAUUUAGUCAACCUCUCCACACUUAUUUUGUCUUCUGGAAGCUCUUCUAUAAACUGGGGGCAUUAAAAGUAGCAACCUUUAUGGGAUAUUGUAAAGAUUACAUAUGAUAAUUCAUAAGAAGUACCUUGAUCCCUGUCUUAUCAUCAUCCUUACAUUUCAGAGAAUAUUUUAUACUUACUUUGGAAAGUAAUAUAGGUCACUGGAGGAUUUUAAACAGGAAAUAAGCAACACUGGAGCUGCACUUUGGAAGAGUCAUCUGGCAACAGCAUGAGGGAUGGAUCAAGGCUGGGGCAGGAGGACAGUGAGGAGGCAGCUCACUAAAAUAUCUCUCAAUCCUAUCAUGGCUUCUUGAUACUUUUAUCCAUGUCGGUUUUAUCUACCCCAAGUGAGGGGCUGUGGGGGGAAGAAACUAAUUGUGGUAGACAGAGUAAUGGUUCCAAAGAUGCCCUUACUGUAAUCUAUGAAACCUGUGAAUAUGUUACCUUACAUGGAAAAAGAGACUUUACUGAUGUGAUUAAAGUUAAGUACCUUGAGAUGGGGAGAAUGUCCUGGAUUAUUAGGCCCAGUCUAAUCACAUGAGUCCUUAAAAUCAGAGAUACUUUCCCUGCUGUAGAAAACCAGAAGUAGCAAUGUGAGAAAGUCUUGGCCCACCAUUGCUGGCUUUGAAGAUGGAGGAAGGGGACCAUGAGCCAAGGAAGGUAAGCAGCUUCUAGAUGCCAGAAAAGGCAAGGAAACGCAUUUUCCCUAAGAGCUCCCUAGAAAGGAAUAUAGUCCUGCCAAUACCUUGAUGUUAACCCUGUGGGAUUUGUGUUGGAUAUCUGAACUAUAGAACUAUAAGAUAAUAAAUAAUGUUGUUUAAGCCACUGACUUUGUGGUAAGUUGUUAUGGCAGCAACAGAAAACUAACACACCGAUACUAUCCAGUUACACAUGAUAAUAAGAAAGUACAAUGAAAGACAAUUCCAGAUAAGUCUAUAUAUUUUAAUAUAAUUUAUUGUCAAAUUGGCUUACAUAAAACACCCAGUGCUCAUCCCAGCAAGUGCCCUCCUCAAUGUGUAUCACCCAUUUUCCCCUCUCCCCCCUCCCCCACUCCCCCAUCCACCCUCAGUUUGUUCUCUGUAUUUAAGAGUCUCUUGUGGUUUGCCUCCCUCCCUCUCUGUUUGUAAUUAUUUAUUUCCUCUUCCCUUCCCCCAUGGUCUUCUGUUAAGUUUCUCAAGAUCCACAUAUGAGUGAAAACACAUGAUAUCUGUCCUUCUCUGACUGACUCAAAUAAGUCUAAAUAUUAUGUUGCAUUCCAAGCACUUUCCUUUUUUUGGAACAUAAAGAUUAUUGUUUUUAUGAAGAUAGUUUUUCUUGACCCCAAUGAAUAAAUGACAAACCAAUAUUUAAGAAUAUUUGUUUGAAAGGCACCAAAUAUUGGCAUAUAUGAGAUCUCAGCUUGGAAACAUGUGGAGGUCUACCUAAGUUUGAUUCAAUAAAUUCUACCAGUACUUCAUGAGUACUUUAUUCCAGGUGGGGCUUUCAAAAAUGGCUAUUUUAUAGUCCCUGCUAACAAACUAGUGAUCCAUGAAUGAAUAUGAGUAAGGAUAUGAACCAGGUAUUACAAACUGAAUUCCUAAAUGUUCCUAGGAAGUGUGGAUGGUGCUAUAGCAGCUGACAUUCUUGCAGAUGACCCCACUGCUUGGUCUUGAAGGAUGAGCAGGAGUGAUUGGAGGAGGAAAGAUCCAAGGGUAGUCAAGCAGGGGUACUCAGUGCAUAGUGGGAUGAGUUUGCAGAGUCCUAGGCAGUCUUGGAGAGCUCUGACAAUGAGCUGGCCAGCUUGGAGCUUUCUCUUUCUCCUUUAGCCGUCACAGUUCUGUGGAGUUGAGUGGAAAAGAGGAGAGAUGUCUGGGCAGAAGGUCUUAUUCUCUAAAUCUUGCAUCUUGACUUAACAAGCUGCUUGGCCUGUCCCGCACUCUUUUCUUCCCACAUUGGUCCAUUCGACGUUUAGAAAAAUUGGAAAAAAAAUUAUUAUCUGUAGAAUAGCAGCAAAUGUGUUUUUCCCCCUGUCCUGUAGAGAGAAGGAAUAUUUAAUUAGUCUACCUGUGGGCCUAAUAAACAACAGGGAGUUAUCUCAGGAGGGGGGAGAAUUGAGGAUAGAGUAAACUGAAUGAUACUUAUACAUAUUCCACAAACUGACUGACAGAGUUGGGCCCGAGAUGGUGUGGAGGUAUGUCAGCACUUGGGGGAAAUGGGGAAAUUAAUGAGGCAGAGAUGGAAGGACAGAUCAUCUGGAUGGGGGAUGGUGAGGGCCUUCGUUAACCUUGAAAUUUGCUUCAGGGGAAGGCAUGUCCUGGAGGUUUCUUACCCAAGACUGUGAAUCCCAGACUUCGAACGGUGGAGAAAUUGCUAACCAUGAUAACUCAUUCAUUGUUGCAUCUCUUAGCUGAAUCGGUACUCAUAACUCAUAAAGCUGCCUCAUAGCAGUUUGCACGUAAGUCAGACACAUAGCUCACAAGAUAGCUUCUUGUGCUUUCAGGUUUCCGCAGGGUCUGGUUGGAGUCCACCUGGUUCCUGAGCAAAUCCUACUUUAGUAACAACAAAAUUCGAUUAAUCAUCAUCAUCGUCGUCGUCGUCAUCAUCAUCAGUAGCAGCAGCAGCAGACACCCAACAUUUCUCAAACAAAGAAUAGUUUACAAAUACCUUCAUGUGUGGGGAACCAUUUGCUCUUCUUCAACUGCCUUCUAUGGCCAGGCGGGGUAUGUAAGAAUGUUAUCAGGACACUGAGCCACUACCUGGUGUAGAUCAAUGCAAACUGUGAUGUCGUGUUCACUAUACCCUUAAAUGAGACCUAUACCUGAGGAAUCCUUUCUCGAGAUGGGCUCAGACAUUAUGGAUAUGAGAGGAAGUCUGCUGGCCUGGAGCAUGAAAACAGCAAGGAUUGAAAUAUAUAAGCAGAGAGAAGAAUUCUGUACGUUAGUGUUAUGUUUCUGAGUUUCUCCUGGGACGAGGGUGAUUCAUUAUAUAAACAGGGAUGAGAUCACAUGGGCCGAUCAGGAUCUACAAUAAAUCUUGAGACAACUCCGGGAAGGGUACUCUGUGGUGUUAGCAAUCAAAUGUAAGGAGACCACACCAUCCCCUUCUUAAGUAUCAACGGCAACAAAGUGAAAGCACACAGGUGUCUGAUUUGUUCUUUCUAAUUCGCUAUGAUGACUUGAGGAAGUGUGGCUGCCAAGUGCCGGCUCCUAGUGUGCAUAAAGGCAGUGAUUUCAUGAGAACUAUCAGAAGAUUAAAAAAUUCAAAGACGAAGGAUGACAAGAAAGAUGAACUGAACUAAAGUAAUUAGGUAAGUAUCUGUGAGUAACAGAAGCCUCAGGAUGGUUGUCCUGAGUUUUUGUUGUAAAGUACUUGUCUGCAAUAUUUUAAGGACUUAGUAGAAUUUUAUUUUAAAGCCAUGACAUUAGCACAGUUAAGCCAAUCAAUGUUUUUUAAUAGCCUUUUAAAGGUGCCUUUUUAAUUGUGCUCUGUGGGAGGGAAAGGCACAUGGAGACUGCAAAAACAUCUAAAAUGGCUUAGUCAGAUCUUUCAAAACUAUUUGCAAGUGCAAAUUUCUGGCUUGGUUUGAUUGCUGUAGAAGUGGGGUUAAAGUGCGAGAUCUAAAGGGCUUAUUCCCCAGGGAAAAAACAAAGACUUAGCUCUUGUGUACAUUCAUUCAGCUUGGCCCCAGAGCAAAAAUAUUUAGAAUCUGCACCAUUUUCCCUUUAGAGAUGCAAGAGAGUUGCGGUUUCUCUUAGAGGAGAAAUAGCUCUACGCGGAAUUUUUCCUGCCCACAUUGGGGCCCAGGAGGUCCAGAGAACACUCACGUUGCUCCUUCUAGCAGUCCUCUGACCUCCUGAAUGUUUGCCAGUGAUCGCUUCAGUUUUUUAUAGUUAGAAUGUGCCUAACAUCUGGAUGAAUAGCAAAAAGUACUGUUAACUUUCCAACUUGCUAUUUGGCGCAAUGCCCACGUUAUUGGCAGAACCAUCAUAGUUCAUUCCCCUUUCUUCAUAGCUUAGUUUUGUGUGAUGCUUUGUUGUUUAAAAAAUGCUUUCAUAUAUAUUAUCCUGUUGGGAGCCCAUGAUAGUCAUGUGAUACAAGGAAGCUAUUAUUAGUUUCUGUUUUAUAAAUGUAGAAACUAAAGCUUGGAAAUAUGGAGAGGUCUAUCCAAGGUCGGUUAAACAAAUUCAACCAGCAUUUCAUGAGUACUGUAGAAUGCUUUAUAUAUCCCAGGGGACUUUCAAAAAUGAUUAUUUUAUAGUUCCUGCAAACAAACUAGAAGCCACAUAUCUACCAUAUCUCACUUCUUCUCCAGUGCUAUUUCUAUGAAAUUACAUUGUCUCUUGCAUGGCAUGUGGACUUCUCUGAAGAAUUUACUUAAAAAAUUUUUUUUUAAUUUUUUCAUUUAUUUUCUUGAGUUUUACUGAGAUAUAAUUGAUAUACAGCACUGUAAAAGUUUAGCAUGUAUAGCAUAAUGACUUGACUUACAUAUGUUGUGUAAUGAUUACAUUAGCAAGAUAUAAAAAAAGAAAAAGAAAAAAAUGGAUUUUUCCUUGUGAUGAGAACUCAGAAUUUACUUUCUUAAUAAUUUGCACAUAUACCAUAUUGAUAAUUACAUUAAAUUUAUUUUAUUUUUUUAAUUUAAAUUUUUUUAAAUUUCCGUCCAAGUUAGUUAGCAUAUAGGGCAACAAUGAUUUCAGAAGUAGAUUCCUUAAUGCCCCUACCCAUUUAGCCCACCCCCUCUCCCACAACCCCUCCAGUAAACCCUCUGAACCCUCUGUUUGUUCUUCAUAUUUAAGAGUCUCUUAUGUUUUGUCCCCAUCCCUGUUUUUAUAUUAUUUUUGCUUCCCUUCCCUUAUGUUCAUCUGGUUUGUAUCUUAAAUUCCUCAUGUGAGUCAAGUCAUAUGAUAUUUGUCUUUCUCUGACUAAUUUUGCUUAGCAUAAUACCCUCUAGUUCCACCCACAUAGUUGCAAAUGCAAGAUUUCAUUCUUUUUGAUUGCCGAGUAAUACUCCAUUGUAUAUAUACCACAUCUUCUUUACCCAUUCAUCCAUUGAUGGACAUUUGGGCUCUUUCCAUACUUUGGCUAUUGUUGAUAGUGCUGCUAUAAACAUUGGGGUGCAUGUGCCCCUUCGAAUCAGCAUUUUUGUAUCCUUUAGAUAAACACCUAGUAGUGCAAUUGCUGGGUUGUAAGGUAGUUCUAUUUUUAAUUUUUUGAGGACCCUCCAUACUGUUUGGAGGGAAUGCAAGCUGGCUGCCCCAGUUUGCAUUCCCACCAACGGUGCAAAAGGGUUCCCCUUUCUCUGCAUCCUUGCCAACAUCUGUUGCUUCCUGAGUUGUUAAUGUUAGCCAUUCUGACAGCUGUCAGGUGGUAUCUCAUAGUGGUUUUGAUUUAUAUUUCCCUGAUGAUGAGUGAUGUUGAGCAUUUUUUCAUGUGUUGGAUGGCCAUCUGGAUGUCUUCUUUGGAGAAGUGUCUGUUCAUGUCUUUUGCCCAUUUCUUCACUGGAUGAUUUGUUUUUUGGGCGUUGAGUUUGAUAAGUUCUUUAUAGAUUUUGGAUACUAGCUCUUUAUCUGAUAUGUUGUUUGCAAAUAUCUUCUCUCAUUCUGUCGUUUGCCUUUUAGUUUUGCUGAUUGUUUCCUUCGCUGUGCAGAAGUUUUUAUUUUGAUGAGGUCCCAGUAGUUCAUUCUUGCUUUUGUUUCCCUUGCCUCCAGAUACGUGUUGAGUAAGAAGUUGCUGCAGCUAAUGUCAAAGAGGUUUUUGCCUGCUUUCUCUGCAAGGGUUUUUUUGAUGGCUUCCUGUUUUACAGUUAGGUCUUUCAUCCAUUUUGAGUUUAUUUUUGUGUAUGGUGUACAAAAGUGGUCCAGGUUCAUUUUUCUGCAUGUUGCUGUCCAGUUUUCCCAGUACCACUUGCUGAAGAGACUGUCUUUAUUCCAUUGGGUAUUCUUUCCUGCUUUGUCAAAGAUUAGUUGUCCAUACAUUUGUGUGUCCAUUUCUGGGCUCUCUAUUCUGUUCCAUUGAUUUGAGUGUCUGUUUUUGUGCCAGUACCAUACUGUCUUGAUGAUUACAGCUUUGUAAUACAGCUUGAAGUCUGACUUCUUUAAAAUUUUUCAAUCCAAGUAUUUGUUGAUUUGGAGUUGCAACAUAAUGACAGAGUGUGGUAUAGAUAAUUUGGGGAAAUGAAUUAACCAAUAGAAAAGAUUAUCUGGUCUUGCUUUUUUUUGGAUUAGUUUUAGAAAGAAGAGUGAUUUGGGGUAUUUGUUUUUCUAUGCAUUUCACUGCAGUGUUCAUCACAGUACUAUGUGCUGCUGUAUUGACCCGCUAUGAUCAGUUCCAACAAGAGGCCACGAAUAUAUGUACAAAAUGGAAGAAACUGAACAAGGUGGAGAGAUGGGUUGGAGAAGAUGGGAAGUGGCUCUGGGCUACCAUGGCUAUCUGUGACCAGGCAGGCACUACACCAGUACAUUUUAAUGCCUUUGUAUUUGUCCUUACACUUGGCUAGUCCUAUUAGUAAGUGACAUGCUUGAUGGUUUGUUGUUUACCUUAAUUUCCUAGAGAAAAGGUCUCUGAAAACUCUAAACUUUUCUGAGUGAAACUAAAAGAAACAGUUCCCCCCGCCCCCAUCACACUCCCACCCACCUGCCCUGCCUGCAUUUCUCAGUUUUGACUGAGGGUCCUGGAUGAAAAGUUUGUAGGAAGCAGAAAGUAGGGGGAUUAUCAGGGAUGGUGCUGUAUUGAAACCAAGGAAAGGAUGUAUUCUAGGGCAGAACAAUGUGGAGUAGUCUCACAGAGCUGAAUUGGCACACUAGCUCUGCUGUGAGAUCCUGAAGCACUUAAACCUUGUGAGACUCAGUUUCCUUACAGUAACAUUGAUCUAAUGAUGCCUAUUUUAAUUGGCUGUUUAAAGGUUUACAUGAAAUAACAUAUCUGUGAAGGGUCAAGAGGACUGUGUGGUAUACAGCAGGUACUCAGUCAUGGUAGCAGCUACUUCUACUACUCUUGUCACCCGCACUGCCACUAGAGCCAUCAGGUUGGAGAAAGCAAGAAACCAGGUUAGCUCUUGUCUGCCACUUUUCCAUUCUCUUGGAUCCUAUUAUUGGGGAUAGAAAGGGCAAGACUUCUUUCAACAAAACCAGUUAGAAACCCAUGACUCCAUUGUUUUAGCUAAAGAAGUCGGUCCUGCAAAGAUUUUACCAAUAGUAGUUUAAAACUGCUUUGGUCUGGGAGGCUACACCAGGCACUAGAAUUCUGAUUCCAGGUAUGUUCCCAACUGCAAUUCAACUGUUCAGCCAUUGUGAUGACAUGCCUUAGUUUUCUGAACUUCAGUUUGCCUUUUGCUAAAUGAGACUGGAACUAGAUCUCAAUCCAAUCAAAUUAGUAGAAAUGUUUGAGUAACAAAGGCCAAAUAGCAAAGGAUUUCUUGUGUAUUUCUUCUGCUCUCUUAUCUCCCACUUUUGCCACAAACACACACAUUCCAUUGCUCUUUUUACAAUAAAGGUUUUGAUACAGUGAAGACACAACUGGGGAGCCCAUGCGUCCAUUUGUUCACUUACUCAAGGACCCUUUCUGAGCACUUAUUACAUGUCAGGCAUUGACCUAUUUAGGGAAGUGCUUGGGCUCCCCCAGGCAUUGUAAUGGAGGGUGCAUGAAUCAUGGCUUCAUAUAUGAUCUGGCAGCAUAAGAACUUUGUAAGUGGAAACAGUGGGUCAGGAAGCAAGGAGGCAAAGUCAGUCUCUGCACAAUGAGAGAAUGAGCUUGGAAUGGUGCACUGUGAUCUGGGAACCUCAUUAUUAGCAAGUUGGAGACACACUGGAGAGUGUUCAGAGAAAAGCCACAAGGAUGAUAAACGGGCGGAAAGACUGAUUUAUGAAGACUUACACAACAAAAUAUGUAUUCUUGGAUCAACAAAGACUUCAGAAGAAAGUGAUCACUAUCAACAACUCUCUGAAGGUUGUGAAUUCCCCAGAGGCACCCCAGAGGUGUUUGCCUGAUAUGUGAAAUGUGACAAGGAAUCAGAAGAUGGCAAAUUUAACCUGUGGAUCAGGGAAAAACGAGAAAUAUAAAUCUAUCCAGGCCUUAUUGAUGGGAAGUAGCUUCCAAGGGCAAUAUCCUUAAUCUGUUUUAUCUCCUAUAUACAUUUCUGCAGUUGUAAUUAUGCAAAUCAUUUGUUGUUUCUUUAUGUUCAGGGGUUUUAUGUGUGUUUCCUAUUUACACACACCUUCCCUGAAGAUGUCAAGAAUGAAAUAUUUGAUUUUUUUUUGUAACCUUCCACUUCAAAGGCUUAAAGAUAAAAGCAGUUGAGUUAUGGACAAAUUGUUUUUUUAAACCAAAGUUUGCAUGCUUAACCUUUGUUGAAAGUCAUUGUCAUAAUGUGAAUUUUAUUCCUAUGAAAAGCCAGAUGGGUGACUCUUUACAAAACUGUCCCUCAGUGACCUGAUCAACAGUUUUACGCACACGCACACACACACACACGCAUACACAUGAUACACCAUAAAGCUUUCAAAGGAUAUAAAAUCAAUUUAAGGGCAGAAUCCAAUCCCAUGCAAUUUUAUGUAUUCGGGACUCCUGUGAGCACAGCAAUUUUAGCUAUGGGAUAGAGGUGCAAUACUUCAAGAAAAUAGCCCAAGUGAGACCUGGACCUAAGGUUUGGGCCACAGAAACCCUCUAAAGAGCUGGGUCCUAUGGACUGGCAGGGCUAUUUGCUCUCAGCGUUGCUCACGUCAGUGUCAGGACAUGGAACUGGGUCCAAUAGAAGACUAACAUUAUAUCUAUUAAAAUACUUUUUGGUCUCACAACCCUGGUUUCCACUGAUGAUCCAACCGGUUUCUGGGUGGUGAGUCUAUGUCUGGAUCAGGGCUGGGGUCGAGCACACAGCCAAGCUAAAACUGUGGGCUUGGUCCAUCUCCCUGGCCACCACAGUGGUUGGCUCAGGGGCAGGCCUGCGACCUGAGCUGGGACUCAAGGACAUUUUCUAAGAUGGUACAGCUCAGAUCUUCUCUUCAUGGCCAGGGCAACAUGAAGAUAUGAAAGCUGGAACUGCUGGGGUAAAUUUUGCUGUCAUGAUGGGGGCCGGCCUGAGAAGGAGGCCUGUGCACGGACCCAUGCAAAGCCAGAGGAAAAUCACAGGGGGUGGAGCCAGAGUCCUGCUGACAAAAUCCUAUCUGGCUGCCUAUCUCUGCUCUUUUCAGUUAUUAGCAUUAAUAAAUGCCCUUUCAUUAUUAACUGCUUUUGACCUGGGCUUUGGUGCCUUGUGGCAUAAAGAAUCCCAAUUACUAUUUGAAUAAGGGACCAGGUUGUAUGGUAGAGGUCAUGAUUUCUGUCUAAGUGUGGAGGAGAGAAGGUCCAUGUGAGCUGGGAGAUAGUUACAGCCAUCGUCGCAGGGUGGGGAGGAGGGAAUAGAAGGCAGGAGGUAACUAACAGUUGAGUGUCUCCUAGGUUCCAGACAUUGGGACUAGUCUUCACAGUCCACACCCAUGACCAAACUGUUCUUUUUGUCUCCUUAUCCUAUUUUGUAAGUGAGAAAACUAAGGCUUGGACUAGUGGAGCAACUUGCUCCAGUCAAGUGGGGGAGACAUAAAGAUUUGAUGAACCUGUGCUCUUCUCACGGCUCCUCGCUCUUUCAAGCCUACAGCUUGGGUUCCAGAUACCUGUGUGUCAGUCCCAGUUCUAGGUGUUCAGCCUUGGACAAGUCACCCAUGUUCUCUGUGCCUUCGUUUCCUCCCACGUAGCAUGGUGAUGAUGAUGCCCGCCUCUCAGAAGCAUUCUGGAGCUUCAUGUGUGGGAAGCCCUUGUGAGAGGUGAGUGUGAGGCAUUAUUCUUACUGGGAAAAGCUUCAGGGAGGAAAUAACACCUAGCCUGGGGACAGUAGUAGGGGUGGGUUUCUGUGGGGAGUUAGCAGGGGAAGGAUGAACUGAACAGAUGGCUGAGGCAAAGGCGUGGAACACAACUGAACUUUGGUCAUUUGUGCAAAAGAAAAGAAACCGCCCCAGCAGCUCCUGAUGUGAAGCUUUGGGGAAUAAGUUCCAGGGCAGUGUUCCUUUAUUUGUUUGUUUAUUUGUUCAUUUAUCUUUCCACUUAUUCAAGGAGAAAUAUACUCUCAUAACUCCAUUAACUUUCUUCCUCUUGCCUAAGUGCUAGUAGUCUACUGAAGUCACUCAAUAUGUGUAAUUUCCCUAGCUUCUGUAUCCCACGUGGCUUUCUUUCUCUCCUCGACACUUUCAUCCUUAUUUAAUGAUAUAGAUAUUUAUAUAUCAAUAUAUAAAUAUUAAUAAAUAUAUCUCAUUAUGUGUAUUUGUACAUAAACAUAUAUUUAAUUAAAAAUAAAAAAAUAUUUUAACCUUUUGAUCUCCUUCACUGAUUUCUCUUACCUCCCAUCUCUGACAACCACCAAUUUGUUUUUUCUGAGUUUAUUUAUUUUUAUUUUUUUUAUAUUCCACAUCUAGUGGAGAUCAUACAGUAUUGGUCUUUGUCUGACUUAUUUAACUUAGCAUAAUGCCCUUGAGAUCCAUGCAUGUUGUCACAAAUGGCAAGAUUUCAUUCUUUUUUAAUGGCUGAAUAAUACUUCAUUGUGUGUGCAUAUAUAUACACACACACAUAACAUAUAUACCCAUAUGUAUAUAUGCACACAUAUAUACAUAUAUACUAUAUAUACAUACAUGUGUGUAGAUAGACAUAUAUGUCUAUAGAUAGAUACACAUUAAAUUUUCCUUAUCCAUUCAUCCUUUGAUGGCCACUUAGGUUGUUACAUAUCUUGGCUAUUGUAAAUAAUGCUGCAGUGAACAUGGGGCUGUGUAUAUCUUUUCAAGUUAGUGUUUUCAUUUUCUCCAGAUAAAUGCCCAGAAGUGGAAUUGCUGGAUCACAUGGUAGUUGUAUUUUUAAUAUUUUGAGGAACUUCCAUACUGUUUACCAUUGUGACUAUGCCAAUUUACAUUCUCACCAACAGUACACAAAGGUUCCCUUUUUUCCACAUUCUUGCCAACACUUGUUAUCGCUUGUCUUUUUGAUUCUAACUGGUGUGAGGUGACAUCUUAUUAUGGUUUUGAUUUGCAUUUCCCUGAUGACUGACGAUGUUGAGCAUCUUUUCAUGUGUCUGUUGGCCUUCUGUAUGUCUCCUUUGGAAAAAUGUCUAAUCAGAUCUUAUGCUCAUUAAAAAAAUUUUUUUUUAACAUAUAUUUAUUUUUGAAAGACAGAGAGAGAGAGCACAUGCAGGGGAGAAGGAGAGAGAGAGGGAAACACAGAAUCCCAAGCAGGCUCUAGGCUCUGAGCUGUCAUCACAGAGCACGAUGCAGGGCUCAAGCUCACAAACCACGAGAUCAUGACCUGAUCUGAAAUCGUAUGCUUAACCGACUGAACCACCCAGGCACCCCUCUUUUGCUCAUUUUUAAAUUGCAUUGUUUGUUUUUUGCUAUUGAGAUGUAUGAGUUCUUUAGAUAUUUUGGAUAUUAACCCCUUACCAGAUAUAUGACUUGGAGAUAAUUUCUCCCAUUUAAUAGGUUGCCUUUUUAUUUUGUUGGUGGUUUCUUUUGCUGUGCAGAAGCUUUUUUGUUUGAUGUAGUCUCACUAUUUACUCUUGCUUUUGUUGCUUCGACUUUUGGUGUCAGAUUAAAAAAAUCAUCUUCAAGACCUAUGUCAAGGAGCUUCUGCCUAUGUUUUUUUCUGGGAGUUUAUGGUUUCAGGUCUUACAUUCAAGUCUUUAAUCCAUUUUGAGUUAACUCUUUCGUGCAUAUGUUAUAAGAUAGUAAUUGGUUUCAUUCUUUUGUCUAUGGCCGUCCAGUUUUCUCAACACCAUUUAUUGAAGAGACUGUAUUUCCCCAUUGUGUAUUCUUGGCUCCUUUGUUGUAAAUUAAUUGACCAUGUAUGCAUGAGUUUAUUUCUGGGCUCUCUAUACUGCUCCAUUGAUCUAAGUGUCUGUUAUGCCAAUAUCAUAAUGUUUUAAUUAUUAUAGCUCUGUAAUAGGAUUUGAAAUAAGGGAGCAUGAUGCCUGAAGCUUUCUUCUUUCUCAAGGCUGCUUUGGUUAUUCAGGGUCUUUAUCUUUAUCUCAUAUGUACUAUAUAUUUUUAUAUUUUAUUUAUUUAAAUUUAAAAAAAUGUUUAUUUACUUUUGAGAGAGAGACAGAGUGCAAGCAGGGGAGGGGCAGGGAGAGAGGAAGACACAGAAUCCGAAGCAGGCUCCAGGCUCUGAGCUAUCAGCACAGCUGACAUGAACCAUGAGAUCAUGCCUGAACCAAAGUCAAACACUUAACUGACCGAGCCACCCAGGCGUCCCUAUAUUUUAUUUAUUUAGUUUGUCCCUCUGUUUCUUCCAUUGGACUUCAAGCUCCCCAAGGGCAAGGACUCCCCCCCCCCCAACCCAUUUUGUUUGCAGUUAUAUCCCAGUACCUUGAACAGUGUCUGGCACAUAGUAGAUAUGCAAUAAAUAUUUGUUGAAUCAAAGAACCAUUUUUAUAUCUAUCCUAUCUGUGGUGGGCCAUACAUGGAUAUCAUCUGAAAGAGAAUCCUCCUUUCCACUGAUCUUCUCACACAAAGAGUUUAAGAAUUGUCAAGAAACAUUUUUCUCCUCAUCCUGUCAGUCCAUCUAGCUCCAUCUUAGAAGAGGAUGCGUCUCCUUUUUAUGGAUCCUCUUUCACUUCUUCUCAAAAUCCCAUUGACCUAUUUCUAACCCUCUGUCUUUUCCUGCCUGGGUGCUGAGUUCAUCUUGGAGGGUUUAUAUCAGUGUUUUUGAGGUCCUGUCCUCCUAUCUUUCAAAGUCUUCAGGGUGUCACAUCUACAAGACAAACUUUCCCCCCUGCUAAUGCUGAUCUUCUUCUCUUGGGGCCUAACUUUGAUGUACCAAUGUAUUCUCAAAGUCUCUUUUUCUUGGCUCCUUUCAAAGGCAACUUCCUUUCAAGGAGAGGAUGAAGAAGACCAGGAAAGAAGGGACAAAAUGAAAAAAAGAACACUUCACCCUGUCUUACAUGUAUUCCCAAUUCCUUAAUUAAGAGAGGAGAUAAAAAUUGAACUCUUGAUUUGUCUUAAUUGGGCUGAGAAAGCAUAUCUGGCAACAGACCUAUUAUUGGAAUCACUAAUUUUAUUUCUCUCACUCUUACCUUCCUUUUGAUUUAAUGAUACCUAUACUAAAUAAUGGGCAGAGAUACACUGGAAUAUUUCUACUGGUGCAAUGGCUAAAAUAUUACAACAAACAAACAAAAUACCUAUUUAUAUCUACUCUGCUCAUAUUUCUUAUACUAGGUAAAACCUUGUUAAUUUUACUGAUUUAUUUUUACUAGGUGACUCACAGUUUCGCAUCAAGUCUUUUUAAUUAAAAUAUCUAUUUUGGGCAAAUGAAAACAUACAAUCAAGAAGGUGGUCUUAAUUGAAGAAUAGCUGAAAGUAAAUCAGUAAAGCAGCAAACUCACUGUUUUGUGUAUUCAUUUAUUCCAAUCCCUUACAAUUUCAGUUGGAAAUUUCAAAGAACCAUAGAGUAAGAGAUGGACAAAUGCUAUUAAGUCACAGUAUCUGUUCUUUGCCAAUAUUCUCUCUUUUUUUAAAAAAAAUAUAAUUUAUUGUGAAGUUAGCUAGCAUGCAGUGUGUACAGUGUGCUCUUGGUUUCGGGAGUAGAUUCCCAUAAUCCAUUGCUUUCAUACAACACCCAGUGCUCAUCCCAACAGGUGCUCUCCUCAAUGCCCAUCACCCAUUUUCCCCUCUCCUCCCCCUCCAAUCAACCCUCAGUUUGUUCUCUGUAUUUAAGAGUCUCUUAUGGUUUGCCUCCCUCUCUGUUUGUAACUAUUUUUUCCCCUUCCCUUCUCCUAUGGUCUUCUGUUAAAUUUCUCAAAUUCUACAUGAGUGAAAACAUAUGAUAUCUGUCUUUCUCUGACUGACUUAUUUCACUUAGCGUAAUACCCUCCAGUUCCAUCCACAUUGUUGCAAAUGGCAAGAUUUCAUUCUUUCUCAUUGCCAAGUAGUAUUCCAUUGUAUAUAUAAACCACAUCUUCUUUAUCCAUUCAUCAGUUGACGAACAUGGGCUGUUUCCAUAAUUUGGCUGUUGUUGAUAGCAUGCAGCUCCUGUCUUGAUGCCUUUUCUGCUCUGGAUAGAGUUAACAGAUAGUUCCUAUGUGGCAUUUAGGCUAGAUCCUUCUAUGUGGGAGUGGAAAAACACCCAUUUCUAGGCAUCUGCUUUGUGGCCAAGGUGCUCUGACUUGGUGAUUCUUCCUGGAGGCCAAGGUUGCCGGUGUGGUUUCAGGGUUCCCUUGGUGAAAGAGAGCCCGGUGUCACGCUUUGGUCAGCAAUAAACCACCAUGUGAUAAACAAGGUGAUGUGAUGAUUCUGUUCACUCCUUGGUGCUGCCAAACCUGGGGCAAAUCUCACCAGUGCAGGCUUCCUGGAAGACAUUUAGUGUUUCCUGCUUCUGGCUGGAAACCCGGAGGAUG
Molecule: long non-coding RNA, 21284 nt
Organism: Acinonyx jubatus (cheetah)
Lineage: Eukaryota; Metazoa; Chordata; Mammalia; Carnivora; Felidae
Exons: 9
Source: RefSeq, a predicted model, not a curated record